AGUAGAAUUGCUGGGUCACGUGCAUAUGGGACCUUUUGAGGAACUGUCAGACAGUUUUCCAAAGCAGCUGUAUCAUUUUC
This 80-nucleotide microRNA precursor is filed under the name Chlorocebus sabaeus (green monkey). Its description in RNAcentral is "miRNA (ENSCSAG00000027132.1)". The record is from RNAcentral. Lineage: Eukaryota; Metazoa; Chordata; Mammalia; Primates; Cercopithecidae.